UGAGUCCCUAAUAAAUGCACAGUUGUUGAU
This 30-nucleotide non-coding RNA is filed under the name Rattus norvegicus (Norway rat). Lineage: Eukaryota; Metazoa; Chordata; Mammalia; Rodentia; Muridae. The record is from RNAcentral.